GUGGGGAAUUUUGCGCAAUGGGGGAAACCCUGACGCAGCAACGCCGCGUGAGUGAUGAAGGCCUUCGGGUCGUAAAGCUCUGUCAGAGGGGAAGAAAUGCAGGGGUGCUAAUAUCAUCUUUGCUUGACGGUACCCUCAAAGGAAGCACCGGCUAACUCCGUGCCAGCAGCCGCGGUAAUACGGAGGGUGCGAGCGUUGUUCGGAAUUAUUGGGCGUAAAGCGCGUGUAGGCGGUUUGAUAAGUCUGAUGUGAAAGCCCCGGGCUCAACCUGGGAAGUGCAUUGGAAACUGUCAGACUUGAAUACGGGAGAGGGUAGUGGAAUUCCUAGUGUAGGAGUGAAAUCCGUAGAUAUUAGGAGGAACACCGGUGGCGAAGGCGGCUACCUGGACCGAUAUUGACGCUGAGACGCGAAAGCGUGGGGAGCAAACAGGAUUAGAUACCCCUGUAGUCC
RNAcentral lists this ribosomal RNA (451 nucleotides) under uncultured bacterium. Its description in RNAcentral is "partial 16S ribosomal RNA". It matches the Rfam family "Bacterial small subunit ribosomal RNA", at positions 354 to 796 of the family's 1533-position model. The record is from RNAcentral.